CAGCGCCACGAGUGGCAAUCGUGUAUUUGGCCUAAAGCGUCCGUAGCUGGCGUUGUAAAUCCUUUGUGAAAUCGUUGGGCUUAACCUAACGGCGUGCAGAGGACACUGCAAUGCUUGAGACCGGGAGGAGUCAGAGGUAUUCCUGGGGGAGCGGUAAAAUGCUAUAAUCCCAGGAGGACCGCCAGUGGCGAAGGCGUCUGACUAGAACGGAUCUGACAGUGAGGGACGAAAGCCAGGGGAGCGAACCGGAUUAGAUACCCGCGUAGUCC
RNAcentral lists this ribosomal RNA (269 nucleotides) under uncultured archaeon. Its description in RNAcentral is "partial 16S ribosomal RNA". It matches the Rfam family "Archaeal small subunit ribosomal RNA", at positions 477 to 747 of the family's 1478-position model. The record is from RNAcentral.